Molecule: long non-coding RNA, 3410 nt
Organism: Anopheles funestus (African malaria mosquito)
Lineage: Eukaryota; Metazoa; Arthropoda; Insecta; Diptera; Culicidae
Exons: 3
Source: RefSeq, a predicted model, not a curated record
UUUUGGUCAAAGUUGGUAGAAACUAGAUGUUUGUAGCCAAAGUUGGUGUUUUUGGUCAAAGUUGGUAGAAACUAGAUGUUUGUAGCCAAAGUUGAUGGUUUUGGUCAAAGUUGGUAGAAACAAGAUGUAUGUAGCCAAAGUUGGUGUUUUUGGUCAAAGUUGGUAGAAACUAGAUGUUUGUAGCCAAAGUUGGUGUUUUUGGUCAAAGUUGGUAGAAACUAGAUGUUUGUAGCCAAAGUUGGUGUUUUUGGUCAAAGUUAGUAGAAAAUGGAUGUUUGUAGCCAAAGUUGGUGUUUUUGGUCAAAGUUGGUAGAAACUAGAUGUUUGUAGCCAAAGUUGGUGUUUUUGGUCAAAGUUAGUAGAAAAUGGAUGUUUGUAGCCAAAGUUGGUGUUUUUGGUCAAAGUUGGUAGAAACUAGAUGUUUGUAGCCAAAGUUGGUGUUUUUGGUCAAAGUUGGUAGAAAAUGGAUGUUUGUAGCCAAAGUUGGUGUUUUUGGUCAAAGUUGGUAGAAACUAGAUGUUUGUAGCCAAAGUUGGUGUUUUUGGUCAAAGCUGGUAGAAACUAGAUGUUGGUAGCCAAAGUUGGUGUUUUUGGUCAAAGUUGGUAGAAACUAGAUGUUUGUAGCCAAAGUUGGUGUUUUUGGUCAAAGUUGGUAGAAACUAGAUGUUUGUAGCCAAAGUUGGUGUUUUUGGUCAAAGUUGGUAGCCUAAGUUGGUGUUUUUGGUCAAAGUUGGUAGAAAAUGGAUGUGUGUAGCCAAAGUUGGUGUUUUUGGUCAAAGUUGGUAGAAACAAGAUGUUUGUUGCCAAAGUUGGUGUUUUUGGUCAAAGUUGGUAGAAACAAGAUGUAUGUAGCCAAAGUUGGUGUUUUUGGUCAAAGUUGGUAGAAACUAGAUGUUUGUAGCCAAAGUUGGUGUUUUUGGUCAAAGUUGGUAGAAACUAAAUGUUUGUAGCCAAUGUUGGUGUUUUUGGUCAAAGUUGGUAGAAACUAGAUGUUUGUAGCCAAAGUUGGUGUUUUUGGUCAAAGUUAGUAGAAAAUGGAUGUUUGUAGCCAAAUUUGGUGUUUUUGGUCAAAGUUGGUAGAAACUAGAUGUUUGUAGCCAAAGUUGGUGUUUUUGGUCAAAGUUGGUAGAAAAUGGAUGUUUGUAGCCAAAGUUGGUGUUUUUGGUCAAAGUUGGUAGAAACAAGAUGUUUGUAGCCAAAGUUGGUGUUGUUGGUCAAAGUUAGUAGAAAAUGGAUGUUUGUAGCCAAAGUUGGUGUUUUUGGUCAAAGUUGGUUGAAACUAGAUGUUUGUAGCCAAAGUUGGUGUUUUUGGUCAAAGUUGGUAGUAACUAGAUGUUUGUAGCCAAAGUUGGUGUUUUUGGUCAAAGUUGGUAGAAACAAGAUGUUUGUAGCCAAAGUUGGUGUUGUUGGUCAAAGUUAGUAGAAAAUGGAUGUUUGUAGCCAAAGUUGGUGUUUUUGGUCAAAGUUGGUAGAAACUAGAUGUAUGUAGCCAAAGUUGGUGUUUUUGGUCAAAGUUGGUAGAAAAUGGAUGUUUGUAGCCAAAGUUGGUGUUUUUGGUCAAAGUUGGUAGAAACUAGAUGUUUGUAGCCAAAGUUGGUGUUUUUGGUCAAAGUUGGUAGAAACUAGAUGUUUGUAGCCAAAGUUGGUGUUUUUGGUCAAAGUUAGUAGAAAAUGGAUGUUUGUAGCCAAAGUUGGUGUUUUUGGUCAAAGUUGGUAGAAACUAGAUGUUUGUAGCCAAAGUUGCUGUUUUUGGUCAAAGUUGGUAGAAACUAGAUGUUUGUAGCCAAAGUUGGUGUUUUUGGUCAAAGUUGGUAGAAACUAGAUGUUUGUAGCCAAAGUUGGUGUUGUUGGUCAAAGUUAGUAGAAAAUGGAUGUUUGUAGCCAAAGUUGGUGUUUUUGGUCAAAGUUGGUUGAAACUAGAUGUUUGUAGCCAAAGUUGGUGUUUUUGGUCAAAGUUGGUAGAAACUAGAUGUUUGUAGCCAAAGUUGGUGUUUUUGGUCAAAGUUGGUAGCCAAAGUUGGUGUUUUUGGUCAAAGUUGGUAGAAACUAGAUGUAUGUAGCCAAAGUUGGUGUUUUUGGUCAAAAUUGGUAGAAAAUGGAUGUUUGUAGCCAAAGUUGGUGUGUUUGGUCAAAGUUGGUAGAAACUAGAUGUUUGUAGCCUAAGUUGGUGUUUUUGGUCAAAGUUGGUAGAAAAUGGAUGUUUGUAGCCAAAGUUGGUGUUUUUGGUCAAAGUUGGUAGAAACUAGAUGUUUGUAGCCAAAGUUGGUGUUUUUGGUCAAAGUUGGUAGAAACUAGAUGUUUGUAGCCAAAGUUGGUGUUUUUGGUCAAAGUUAGUAGAAACUAGAUGUUUGUAGCCAAAGUUGGUGUUUUUGGUCAAAGUUGGUAGAAACAAGAUGUUUGUAGCCGAAGUUGGUGUUUUUGGUCAAAGUUGGUAGAAACUAGAUGUUUGUAGCCAAAGUUGGUGUUUUUGGUCAAAGUUGGUAGAAACUAGAUGUUUGUAGCCAAAGUUGGUGUUUUUGGUCAAAGUUGGUAGAAACUAGAUGUUUGUAGCCAAAGUUGGUGUUUUUGGUCAAAGUUGGUAGAAACUAGAUGUUUGUAGCCAAAGUUGGGUGUUUUUGGUCAAAGUUGGUAGAAACUAGAUGUUUGUAGCCAACGUUGGUGUUUUGGUCAAAGUUGGUAGAAACUAGAUGUUUGUAGCCAAAGUUGGUGUUUUUGGUCAAAGUUGGUAGAAACUAGAUGUUUGUAGCCAAAGUUGUGUUUUUGGUCAAAGUUGGUAGAAACUAGAUGUUUGUAGCCAAAGUUGGUGUUUUUGGUCAAAGUUGGUAGAAACUAGAUGUUUGUAGCCAAUGUUGGUGUUUUUGGUCAAAGUUGGUAGAAACUAGAUGUUUGUAGCCAAAGUUGGUGUUUUUGGUCAAAGUUGGUAGAAAAUGGAUGUUUGUAGCCAAAGUUGGUGUUUUUGGUCAAAGUUGGUAAAAAAUGGAUGUUUGUACCCAAAGUUGGUGUUUUUGGUCAAAGUUGGUGGAAACAAGAUGUUUGUAGCCAAAGUUGGUGUUUUUGGUCAAAGUUGGUAGAAACAAGAUGUUUGUAGCCAAAGUUGGUGUUUUUGGUCAAAGUUGGUAGAAACAAGAUGUUUGUAGCCGAAGUUGGUGUUUUUGGUCAAAGUUGGUAGAAACUAGAUGUUUGUAGCCAAAGUUGGUGUUUUUGGUCAAAGUUGGUAGAAACUAGAUGUUUGUAGCCAAAGUUGGUGUUUUUGGGUCAAAGUUGGUAGAAACUAGAUGUUUGUAGCCAACGUUGGUGUUUUUGGUCAAAGUUGGUAGAAACUAGAUGUUUGUAGCCAAAGUUGGUGUUUUUGGUCAAAGUUGGUAGAAACUAGAUGUUUGUAGCCAAAGUUGGUGUUUUUGGUCAAAGUU